GUCAACCUGAUUUUAGGUGAAUGAAGUAGAUGUUGUCCAGAGGACCUGAGUGUAUCAGGCAAGAUUAUACAGGAGGAAUUUGAUGGUGUGCUUCUUGAAGAGAUGGUCGCUGAAGCUUUGCACAAACUGGGGCGUUCAGCCCCUGGCACAGAACAUGUCUACCUUGAUCUUUCCCUUUCAGAUCGCCUUUUAAGUGACAUUAAUAUUCUCUCCAGAUAUGUUCAUCUUGAGAAGCUAGAUCUUUCCAACAAUAAAAUCGAUGGUACGUGGUCAUCACUUUUGUAAACCUCUGGACUGUAAAACCAUUUCAGGCAGCAGAGGAAAUGUGUUGGACCACUCAGCUCUCUUAUUAUAAAUGCAGUUCUUGGCUCCACUUAAGUAGCUCUUCAGAAUGAUUGGAUCCCCUGGAGAAUGUUAAGAUAGCCUUGUUCAAGUCCAUAUAACAUGCCAUAAUGACAUAUGCUCAACGACUAGAACAUAAAGAUUAUUGUCCAGUUUAUUAUCUGGAAAUAAAAUGCAAACAACCAUGUUAGUUCUGAAGCCGGAGCUGAGAUUAAACAUUAGGAACAGACUUGUAUUGAGUCAGAUCAAUGAUCCACCUAGCCUUGCGGCUGUCUGUACUCUCCAGGUUUGGAAGCAGAGGUCUUUCUUGCA
Molecule: long non-coding RNA, 654 nt
Organism: Sceloporus undulatus (fence lizard)
Lineage: Eukaryota; Metazoa; Chordata; Lepidosauria; Squamata; Phrynosomatidae
Exons: 3
Source: RefSeq, a predicted model, not a curated record